GAGUAAUGUCCGGUGGUACAUCGACACUAGGGCGUGGUCACCUGUCUACUCGGUGUAUUCAAACUCCAGCAUCGCUUCCGGUUCCGUCCAGGAGCUGGUGACGGGUAUCCAGGAGGGGAGGGACGUCAGGGUGUGGCUCAAGUGGGUGCUGGAGACCAGGUCACGCUUUCUGGACUCACAGAUGAGUUCAUUGACCGACGACGGCAAGGUGAGCACUGAAUCAGUCGUAACGUGGGGUACUGACGCCUCUAACGUGACCUCCACCUUACUCAGCCCACUUUGUGACCUUGAGUACGUGCUAGUGACGUCAGAGGGCUACGUGGAGGUGAUGAGGUUCAACAUUCAAACUUCCGGGCUGAAGAGCGUGCUUAGCAACGUCCUCAUCACGUGGUUUCUCUCGUAA
Long non-coding RNA from Physella acuta, 403 nucleotides. RefSeq lists it as uncharacterized. The record is from RefSeq and is a predicted model, not a curated record. Lineage: Eukaryota; Metazoa; Mollusca; Gastropoda; Physidae.